Molecule: small RNA, 129 nt
Filed under: Marmota monax (woodchuck)
Lineage: Eukaryota; Metazoa; Chordata; Mammalia; Rodentia; Sciuridae
Source: RNAcentral
GCUGGGUAUGGUGGUGCACAUCUGUAAUCCUAGCAACUUGGGUGGCUGAGGCAGGAGGAUCAGAAGUUUGAGGCUAGCCUCUCAGCAAGUUGGUGAGGCCCUAAGCAACUCAGUAAGACCCUGUCCCAA